Molecule: long non-coding RNA, 5413 nt
Organism: Tympanuchus pallidicinctus (lesser prairie-chicken)
Lineage: Eukaryota; Metazoa; Chordata; Aves; Galliformes; Phasianidae
Exons: 3
Source: RefSeq, a predicted model, not a curated record
GCGAGCACUGAGGCAGCCAAGGGAGCACAGGUGGAGGCAACUCACCUGUGCUGCAGGAAGAGGUGGAGCCAGGCUGCACCUCUCCUAGACCCACAUAAGAGCUGACUGCCAGUGGGGAAUCUUCUGGAGAUCCCUCCUCUAGGGUUUUGCAGUGAGCCCAGGACACAGGAAGAAACAACACCAGGGUUUUUGUGAAGGCAAAAUGACCUUUGUUAAGCUUCACAGGCAAAACAGCACUACGCUUUGUUACAGAAACACUGGUCUCAAAAUUCUCCCCUCACCUCAGAGUCCACCUGCUCAGCACCCCCCAACACAGCUGACUUCCUGUUGGCCAGUCACUGCAAGUGUUUGUGCAGAAAGACCACAUCAAUAUAAAAUUUUUUUUUUUGUUGUUGACUCUUCAUGAUAUUUCUCAACUGAAAAUGAGAAGGAAAGUCUGUCUCUGUGAGACUAAGUGGCAAGAAGAAGAGACAGAUGAAAACUGUUAGGAGAAACUGAGCCCAGAACAAUGCGGAACAAAGCGUUUAUUUCCUGGAGACACUUCUCUAAUGAAAAAGUGUUAUGAGAAAAAUUCCAUCAUCUAGAGAAUCAGAAAUCAUUCAGAGAAAAUGGAUUAAUGCAGUUUUCCUAUGUUUUUUUAAAAGAAGCGAGCAGUGGAAACAUUUCAUUAUCUCCAUGAGAGAUUCAAAUGCAUUUGUGUGUGCUGCAGGGAUAAUGGCAUUUCCUGGGACCCUGAAGGUAUUUGGUCUCAUCCCAUGCCUGGCUAUCGGUAGAAGCUUUCAAUUAUCCAAGCACAAGGGAAACGUUUUCUAAAUAAAAAUCAGGCCAAUUCUGUGGAGAAACCUUGCAAGGUUUUUUUUACUUAUUAAUGGUAUUUAGCUUUGACAUUCAGCUGUCAGCCUUGUGAGGCAGCAGAUGCUUGGGACAUGUUUUCACCUGCUGAUGCUGGAGGUGAGAAAGAGCUUUGAAAGGACUGCUGGCAAAACUAGUGUCUGAGUUUUGAAGUUCUGUAUGUACCCUGAAUAUUACCCCAUACAGCUUGGAAUCUCAAAGAAAAGUGAAAAAUGCUAUGGUUAUUGACCAAUGGGACUGUAUUUACAAGUUUUGUGUUCUCAUUUUCCUGGAAAAAUGGCAGUAAAAAUCACAGAAUCUCAGAAUGGUUUAGGUUGGAAAGGAUCUUAAAGCCAGCCCUGACCCUGGCCAUGGGCUGGUUGCCACCCACCAGAUCAAGCUGCUCAGGGUCCAUCCAACCCAGCUUUGAUUGCCUGCAGGGAAGCUCUUGGAAAACCCUCUAAGGGAAGUUCUAUUAUCACUGAAGGAGAUGGGAGUCCUCCCAGUGCGUUACCUUUAUGGUGGGAUGGUAUCUUCCCUAACAUCUGUGGUGUGAAAGCCUGGUGUUGUAGUCCCUCAACACCUAUUUUAUACACCUCUCUGCAGUAUGGACUGAAUGCCCAGAGAACUGCACAUCCUCCCACUGGAUGCAGAGGGCCUGCUCUGCGGAGCAGACUGGGUGCCUAACGUUGGAAUGGUGGAUGGGUGAGGAGCCCUGCUUUCACCAGCUGAUGAACAAAUCAAAUCUUCAAGAACUGUUCUUGGGGGAGCUUCGCAGGGGUGGAAAAAACCUGUGCUAUUUGGAAACUUAAGAACUUACAUAUCUUUUUUUGAAAAUUCACUGAUUUCCAGUCAGCACUACAUGGGUAUAACAGAUCUGUUGUUGAACUCUUUCAAACUAGUCUGGUUUAGAAUCAUUAUUCCACCCAUGAAGCAGAAGAUAAUACUUCAUCUCAGUGAAUUUAUCCCAAAUUCCAUUAAUAUUAGGACCCCCUCUGCAUGGUUAUUUGCCUCGCUAUGAGCCGAUCUCUGGUGGUAUUGAUUGUUUCUAGACUGGGAAGCACAACAUAAAUCAGAGAAAAUUCCGAAAGGAAUUAAUGUUUGAAUUUUCUGGAGAAGCAAGGAGAAUUCUCUAUGCUUAUUCUUAUGUGUUUUGUCAGACUAGCUUGACGCUGGGGACCCUUCCCUAAAAAACAAACAAACAAAAAAAACCCCAAACCACAAAAAAACUGAUCUAAUUCCAUUGCACUAAUUCCAUUUGUUGACACCUCAGCCAUAAACUGAACAAAUUCAGAGAGAAAACGUUCCUUACUUCCCACAGCAGCAGCGGAGGAGUCAGGCAGGGUCAGAGCACGGUGAGAUUCUUUAUAAGGAUAAGAUCACCUGGGGUUCUCUACACAAAGCUGUGAAAGGUGUAUAUGAGGGGAUAUUGAUUUGUGCUAUGCAAAGCUGUUGCCCAUAAUUUGCUUCCUGAUACUGACCAACACAGUGAUUCAAUAGGACUUGGGUGAUCAGAGGGCAAAUUGUUCAGUCUUUUAUGAAGCAGAAAUAUGAGUCCCACUGACUUCUGAUAAGGAUUCAGUUCUAAGUCUGCAAUCUCUGUAAUAUGAGAGGAGUACAGAGUAAAUAUUCACGUCUAAACUUUUCCUCAGUCAUUCUGAAUUCCCUCCAGAAAACUGGAGAGGAAAAAAUCAUUUUUUUAAUGUGAGAGAAAUGAGGAUCUUUCCUUCUGAGGAAGACCACCCCAGAUGAAUGAUUCCUAUUGCUGAUUAUAGCCUCCCCACAGCUAACUGGGAUGUAGAGGCAGUCAUGCCCAGAUGACAGACUCCUGAGUAUCUUGUAUUUUUUUGAAACUGGUGACUGGGUUACCUGAGGAACAUAGCAAGACUGGGGACAUCUGGUUUGAGGAUGAAAGGAAGAAGAAUUUUUCAUAGCUGUUCCUAACCAUACGUAUCCUAUGCAUAAUAUCCUUCCUUGGCUUUCUAAUUUGUAACAACUCCAGGCCCCUAACAGGAAGUCUUCAUUAAGGGAAAUGAAGUAGUCCUAAGCUGUAGAAAGGACAGAAGCAAAGUGCAGAGUAACAAUGUCCUUUCCAACUCCCUUUAUUGCAAUAUAUCAUUUUCUGUUAGCACUCUGGAGAUCACAGAAUCACUGAAUCAUUUGGUUUGGAAGGGACCAACUGGUCCAACUCCCCUGCAGUGAACAGGGACACCCACAGCUCAAUCAGGUGCUCAGAGUCCUGUCCAGCCUGAUCUUGAGUGUCCCCAGGGAUGACCAUCCACCACCUUUCUGGGCAACCAGUGCCAAUGCCUCACCACCACUAUCAUAAAAAAACUUACAUCCAAUCAAAAUCUCCCCUCUUUUACUUUGAAACCGUUUCCUUUUUUCCUAUCAUGAUAGACUCUAUGAAAGAAUUUGGACCUUUCCUUCUUAUGACCCCUCCUUUACAUACUGAUGUUGUUCUUUCUUAAAUACACAACUGUAAUACAGUAAUGAAGAGGAUUUCAAGCAUGUUAUUUUUCAUACAGCAUGCAUCUAGGCUCACCACCACAUCUUGGCAAGGAAAGCAGCUAUGGUAGGAUUUCCUGCAGCAUCACCAGUGCUGCCAUAAGCACAGGUUUCAUCUCAUUAGCUUUGUCUGCAUCCAUCUGUGUUGCAGUGUGAGUAACAAGCACUGUGCUCAGCCCCAGCAGGGACAGCUGAGGUCAAGCUCUUUGUGGUCUCUGAAUGCGAGGCAUCAUCAUCUAAAUGCAGAAAGCUGAGGCUAGGAGCCAUUUCAUCUUCAAUUCCUACUGGAUCUCCUCUGACUUUACUCAGUGCCUGAGAGUCUGUCCAGUAAGAACCAGAUUUCCUGAUCUGCAUGAUUACUGGGUAAGAAAAGACCUUUUCUGAAACUGCUCAUCUUUCUGUUAUCUGUAUGUGAGCCAACAGCUGAUCUGCAAUCCUCAUUUAUGUAUCUGAACACCAUGUUGCAUGAACUCAGACCUGACUUGUGUUAGUUUCACCUCUAAGGAACAAAAGGUUUUGCUGUACUACAGUGCUAAUUCUGCAGCACUUCUUUUCCGAGGAGAUGAAAGAAGAGGAGAAUAACAGUGAUCAGAAAAGGAAAAUGGAAAGCAUUGUUGCUAACAGCAGAAAAACAACUUCACCUCUGCACCCAGGGCUGUCAGCAUGCUCCUGUGCUCCCUACCCCUCCUGGACCAGGGAGCGGUUUCCCCCCCCACACACUUUAUAUUUUCUUUAUUAUUUUAUUUUUUCCCCAGGAGGGCUAUAGAAAUCAAUCCAAGUAAGAAAAGGAAGAGAACUAACAAAAUGAUGAAGAGACAUUGGCAAUAGUCAAAAGGUAGGAGAGAAAGUGUGGGAGUGAAUGCUGGAAUGAUGAAAAGGGAGAUCUUGCCUUUUGGAAACAGGACAGUGCUGAUAAAUAGCCCUGCGUAAGACCGUGGUGAGAAGAGGAAAGAACAGUGUGGAGAUGGAUAGCACAGAUCAAAUGCAGAAGGAAAUCAAUGCAAAUGAAGAAUGAAUAAGGAGAGUAAGGAAAGAAAACUGAGUUUGGAUAAGUUAAUUUUAUUUAUACUCUUUUUAAAUAUACAGAAGUCUUUCCCGGGAGACAUUGUACAUCACAGCUGAAAACAAAAAAGAAAACAGGGAUGUUGAUCAGAUAAGGAUGACAACUCCCACUGCUUGCUUUCAGUCCUCAGGACAAACAUAUGCAAACAGCUGUAAGCCUGGAAAUCCUGCUGCAGAAAUCCACUCCUGCCAGAAGCCCUGCAGGUGCAGCAACGAGACUGUAGCACCAAUAAACAACUCUGCCAGGCCUGCGGGGCGUGUGUCCUGCUCCAUCUUGUGCCACUGCCUCCUAAUCCAGUUAGGCCUAUAGAAAUGUUUCACAGGAAGAUGAGGGAAGAUAUAAACAAAAGAAGCCCCUUCUUUAAGAGAAAGUGAUGGCUUAUGGAUGGGUAUGUUUCUCCCAGUUCCCCAGCUCUUUCCUCCUCCUGCUCUGUCCCUAUUGUACUGUUGCUUUUCCCUUGAAUUGGAUAUGCUAAACUGCUGCUACCUUUAUUUUUAAACCUUGAUAUGAAGCAUCCUGCCUCUAUCACAAUUGCUUAGCUUAUGCUUUUCCUAGGACACUUCAAAUUUGCCUGAGCAGGUCCAGCUGGGGCUUAGCAGCAAUUACUCUGAGUGAAGGAGUGAUUGCUUCCUCAAUCUUUCGUCAAACCAAAUCAAGCUGGGCAGGGGAAAGAGAGGCUAUUUUCUCAUCAGGUAACAGUGGUUGGCUGAAGAUAAGUGGAAACAAUCAAAACUAAGCUAUAGCUUUUCUGCUUCCUGAACAGAAAGUGGUCUUUCCUACCAAUUUUUAUUAAGUUGCAGGAGUUCUGCUCCAUGCAAUUAUCUCCUUCCUUACUUGUUUCACAGAGACUGUGGGCAUCUGCACAUCCCAUGAAUAAGGGAAAUAGUGGCAGGGAAGGGAGUGGGAUGUUACACCCACUUUCCUCUGGAAAAAGGGGCAGAAUUUUGCAAGCAUUGAUAGGUUUAGAAAACAGGAAAACUAAAUACCACCUGUAAAAGAAGGCAAGGCAAG